AAACUCUAUCUUUUUCUGCUUUUGGUGGGGUUUUAACAUGUAGAGUCUUCAGAAUGCGGAAUGGAAUCUUACAAGAAAAUGCAUAUAAUGAGCUCAAGUAGAAGAAGAAAUCAGAGAUAAGGGUGGGUAAAGAUGAGCCGAAUAGUGAGCAGCAACACAUGGGCUCUCUGUAUGCGAAGCUUCACUACUACCCAUAUAAGGGUUUGGAGUAAUGCUACUGUUUUCCACAACAGAUUUACACAUACAUUUCCAAAGGGAAACAAUGAUACAGUUACUCACAACUUAGAAGCAAGAGAAAAUCUGCAAUUGGAAGAUGUCAAUCUGGUGGAGAACUCUUAACAAUGAGUUUAAGAAGGCAUCAAAAGGUGGUACCAUGAGACAAACCCAAAGGUUUUCAACUGCUGCUAUUAUGAGUGUGAGACCUCCAGACCCUCCAGGCCCAAAUACAGGUGAUGGCCCACAUCAUAAUUAGUUGCCGGAUUUUGGUAUACAAGAGGAGCAUAAAGAAAAUAGGAAAAGUAUGGUAAAUCUAUGCAUAGAUUAGGGCUAGUGAAAUGUUAUGUUUUGAAAUACCCUGGUGUUGGGACACAGAUAUAAAAGUUGUACUAGUGGCUCGCUUUAUUUGUAUGAGAUGUUUCUACUGUAUCAGACCAAGAUACUAAGAUCGUAGUAUGAUAAUAUGGCUACAAUAUGUUUUGAAGUCUAAUAUAAUGAAUUGUCAUACAUUAAAAGCUGAA
Molecule: long non-coding RNA, 737 nt
Organism: Cryptomeria japonica (Japanese cedar)
Lineage: Eukaryota; Viridiplantae; Streptophyta; Pinopsida; Cupressales; Cupressaceae
Exons: 3
Source: RefSeq, a predicted model, not a curated record